RNAcentral lists this transfer RNA (77 nucleotides) under Camellia brevistyla. Its description in RNAcentral is "tRNA-Ile". It matches the Rfam family "tRNA". From Rfam's summary of the family: Transfer RNA (tRNA) molecules are approximately 80 nucleotides in length. Their secondary structure includes four short double-helical elements and three loops (D, anti-codon, and T loops). Further hydrogen bonds mediate the characteristic L-shaped molecular structure. tRNAs have two regions of fundamental functional importance: the anti-codon, which is responsible for specific mRNA codon recognition, and the 3' end, to which the tRNAs corresponding amino acid is attached (by aminoacyl-tRNA synthetases). tRNAs cope with the degeneracy of the genetic code in two manners: having more than one tRNA (with a specific anti-codon) for a particular amino acid; and 'wobble' base-pairing, i.e. permitting non-standard base-pairing at the 3rd anti-codon position. Lineage: Eukaryota; Viridiplantae; Streptophyta; Magnoliopsida; Ericales; Theaceae. The record is from RNAcentral.
GGCUAUUAGCUCAGUGGUAGAGCGCGCCCCUGAUAACUUCACGGGCGAGGUCUCUGGUUCAAGUCCAGGAUGGCCCA